GCCCUCGUGGCCCAACUGGCAGAGGCACCGGAUUCAGGAUCCGGAGGUUCCAGGUUCGACUCCUGGCGAGGGCA
Molecule: transfer RNA, 74 nt
Filed under: Kutzneria sp. 744
Lineage: Bacteria; Bacillati; Actinomycetota; Actinomycetes; Pseudonocardiales; Pseudonocardiaceae
Rfam family: tRNA
About the family: Transfer RNA (tRNA) molecules are approximately 80 nucleotides in length. Their secondary structure includes four short double-helical elements and three loops (D, anti-codon, and T loops). Further hydrogen bonds mediate the characteristic L-shaped molecular structure. tRNAs have two regions of fundamental functional importance: the anti-codon, which is responsible for specific mRNA codon recognition, and the 3' end, to which the tRNAs corresponding amino acid is attached (by aminoacyl-tRNA synthetases). tRNAs cope with the degeneracy of the genetic code in two manners: having more than one tRNA (with a specific anti-codon) for a particular amino acid; and 'wobble' base-pairing, i.e. permitting non-standard base-pairing at the 3rd anti-codon position.
Source: Rfam by way of RNAcentral